GAAUGAAAAAAGAAGGGGGGAAAGCUGGAAACUGCGAUUAGCAACGAGGUUCUAGAAAGAAAUAGGGACUUCCUAUACAAGAUAAGAAAAUUUCAGUGUUUGCUUCUGCCCUGUUUCUCCUCGUGCAACUUUUCUCACUGCCUCAGAACUUUUUCAAUUCCUUUCCCCAAACUGGAUGCUGGUCUAUGAGAUUUCCUCGGCUUUUGAGCUCAUCUGGGUGACAGAUGAAGGUCAACCUUUGAUCAACACCCAUGGAAGGAGAGGCUCCUCUUAAGGAUGAACAGAAGCAGCUACAAGCAGGAGCCAACCAAAAAGAGGAUGAUGCAGAUGAAGCUUUUAUUCUCCUUUUAGAGUCCCUUGAGGAUGAUUUACAAGAUGAGGGAAAAGAGGAGGAAGUAAGACUCCAAGGGACAUUGCCAGAAAGAGGGGAGGAUGAAAAUGAGAACUGUUGGGAAGGAAAUGAAUCCCUGAGGCAGAAUCACGCAGACCAGAGGAGAGACAUAUCUCACAGAUAUCUGCGUGGUGUUGCCUCUGAAGACGAAAUG
Non-coding RNA from Pogona vitticeps (central bearded dragon), 545 nucleotides. The record is from RefSeq and is a predicted model, not a curated record. Lineage: Eukaryota; Metazoa; Chordata; Lepidosauria; Squamata; Agamidae.